UAUCAAUAAGCGGAGGAAAAGAAACCAACAGGGAUUGCCCUAGUAACGGCGAGUGAAGCGGCAACAGCUCAAAUUUGAAAUCUGGCGCAAGCCCGAGUUGUAAUUUGUAGAGGAUGCUUCUGGGUAGCGGCCGGUCUAAGUUCCUUGGAACAGGACGUCAUAGAGGGUGAGAAUCCCGUAUGUGACUGGCUUGCACCCUCCACGUAGCUCCUUCGACGAGUCGAGUUGUUUGGGAAUGCAGCUCUAAAUGGGAGGUAAAUUUCUUCUAAAGCUAAAUACCGGCCAGAGACCGAUAGCGCACAAGUAGAGUGAUCGAAAGAUGAAAAGCACUUUGGAAAGAGAGUUAAAAAGCACGUGAAAUUGUUGAAAGGGAAGCGCCCGCAACCAGACUUUGCGGCAGUGUUCGGCCGGUCUUCUGACCGGUUUACUCGCUGUCGUGAGGCCAUCAUCGUCUGGGACCGCUGGAUAAGACCUUAGGAAUGUAGCUCCCCUCGGGGAGUGUUAUAGCCUCUGGUGAUGCAGCGCGUCUCGGGCGAGGUCCGCGCUUCGGCAAGGAUGAUGGCGUAAUGGUUGUCGGCGGCCCGUCUUGAAACACGGACCAAGGAGUCUAACAUCUAUGCGAGUGUUCGGGUGUCAAACCCCUACGCGUAAUGAAAGUGAACGGAGGUGGGAACUUUUUGUGCACCAUCGACCGAUCCUGAUGUCCUCGGAUGGAUUUGAGUAAGAGCAUAGCUGUUGGGACCCGAAAGAUGGUGAACUAUGCCUGAAUAGGGUGAAGCCAGAGGAAACUCUGGUGGAGGCUCGCAGCGGUUCUGACGUGCAAAUCGAUCGUCAAAUUUGGGUAUAGGGGCGAAAGACUAAUCGAACCAUCUAGUAGCUG
RNAcentral lists this ribosomal RNA (880 nucleotides) under Pseudocercospora eucalyptorum. RNAcentral's name for it is "eukaryotic LSU rRNA". It matches the Rfam family "Eukaryotic large subunit ribosomal RNA", at positions 41 to 953 of the family's 3401-position model. Lineage: Eukaryota; Fungi; Ascomycota; Dothideomycetes; Mycosphaerellales; Mycosphaerellaceae. The record is from RNAcentral.